UACACGCUGUGACUAGCAUAUCAAUAAGCGGAGGAAAAGAAACUAACAAGGAUUCCCCUAGUAACGGCGAGUGAAGCGGGAAGAGCUCAAAUUUGAAAUCUUAAAGGGUUUCCCUUUACGAAUUGUAGUUUAAAGAAGUGUUUUCUGUUGAGGUUUUGGUAAAAGUUCUUUGGAAUAGGACAUCAUAGAGGGUGAGAAUCCCGUAUUUGACCUUUACUUUCAACUUUGUGAUACACUUUCAAAGAGUCGGAUUGUUUGGGAAUGCAGUCCAAAAUGGGUGGUAAAUUUCAUCUAAAGCUAAAUAUUGGCGAGAGACCGAUAGCGAACAAGUACCGUGAGGGAAAGAUGAAAAGAACUUUGAAAAGAGAGUUAAACAGUACGUGAAAUUGUCAAAAGGGAAGCGUUUGACACCAGUGUUGUUUUUCUGAAAAUCAAUUAAAGAACUGUUUAUGCUAAGUUGUUUAGACUUUAUCAGCUAUCUGUUUAGUUUUGAGCUUUUCUUUAAUGCACUUUUCAGUUAACAAGUCAACAUCAAUUUCUUUUGCUGUAAAAAAGCUUGAGGAAGGUGGCUUGAGAUUCGUCUUAAGUGUUUAUAGCCUCUUGCCUAUGCAGUCGGAGAGAUUGAGGUCUGCAGCGUAGAUCCUUCGGGGCUAAAUGCAUUUGUGCUAAGUUAUAGCAUUUUAUAGACAACUUGUUGACUAUGAUUUGUCUUGUAGCUUACUCGCUUAUGUUAUUUUACCUACGCUUAGGAUGUUGAAGAUGUAGCACAUCAU
RNAcentral lists this ribosomal RNA (773 nucleotides) under uncultured Neocallimastigales. RNAcentral's name for it is "partial large subunit ribosomal RNA". It matches the Rfam family "Eukaryotic large subunit ribosomal RNA", at positions 22 to 635 of the family's 3401-position model. Lineage: Eukaryota; Fungi; Neocallimastigomycota; Neocallimastigomycetes; Neocallimastigales. The record is from RNAcentral.